CACUCUACCAACUGAUCUAUAUCCCCAGUCCCUGGUUAGGUUUUUUGAUUAUACCAUGCUGUGUGGCAACAUAGCCCAAUUUAGAAGGGGUUUGGAGGAGCUUCUGGUUUUUCACAGAUGUUCCUGAAGUUCUCCAGAGAGGUCAGCAGGGGGCUCCAUUCUCUGUGUUCAUUAGUACUUGCGCAGUGUGGACUAGAGACAGGUUUUGGGGACAAGGAAAGUCGAGAGAGCCUAGCAUUCAAUGUCAAUCAUGGGCUCCCUGGGAUCCUCCUGCCACCAACUAAUCUGGGAUCCCCAUGGAGGAGGGACAUUUGACAUCAACCUGGAGUCCGUUGGAGACUGGAGGAAAGCCUGCCAAGGUGUAAUGCCAAGCACUCCAUCUACGUGCAGGAGCCCCGGCUGAUCCAAAAUCGUGUCUCUACUGCCUGAGAUCAAUGUGACUGGGUCCUCCAACUCUCCGUAUCCAUGACAACAACUAGUAUCUAUCAUGUAUCAAGAAUCUUGAGGGGGGCUGGGGAUGUGGCUCAAGUGGUGGCGCGCUCGCCUGGCAUGUGUGCGGCCCGGGUUCGAUCCUCAGCACCACAUACAAACAAAGAUGCUGUGUCCGCCCAUAACUGAAAAAUAAAUAUUAAAAAAAUUUUC
Marmota monax (woodchuck) is the source of this 642-nucleotide long non-coding RNA. RefSeq lists it as uncharacterized. The record is from RefSeq and is a predicted model, not a curated record. The transcript has 2 exons. Lineage: Eukaryota; Metazoa; Chordata; Mammalia; Rodentia; Sciuridae.